This 536-nucleotide ribosomal RNA is filed under the name soil fungal sp. ANG34. RNAcentral describes it as "eukaryotic LSU rRNA". The stretch from base 174 to 327 matches the Rfam family "5.8S ribosomal RNA". Lineage: Eukaryota; Fungi. The record is from RNAcentral.
ACUCCUAAACCCAUGUGAACAUACCUAUUGUUGCUUCGGCAGGUCUCGCAGCCCUCCCGGUUUUGAUGCUCCCUCACCGGAGCACCUACCCGGUAGCUGCGGGGUAAGCCUGCCGGUGGCCCACUAAACUCUGUUUGAUUUUGAAAUUCUGAAUCUAUAACUAAAUAAGUUAAAACUUUCAACAACGGAUCUCUUGGUUCUGGCAUCGAUGAAGAACGCAGCGAAAUGCGAUAAGUAAUGUGAAUUGCAGAAUUCAGUGAAUCAUCGAAUCUUUGAACGCACAUUGCGCCCAUUAGUAUUCUAGUGGGCAUGCCUGUUCGAGCGUCAUUUCAACCCUUAAGCCCUCGUUGCUUAGUGUUGGGAGACUACGGCGACGUAGCUCCCUAAAGUGAGUGGCGGAGUCGGUUUGCACUCUAGGCGUAGUAAUUCUUUUCUCGCCUCUGUAGUCGGAUCGUCCCCUGCCGUAAAACCCCCCAAUUUCUAAAGGUUGACCUCGGAUCAGGUAGGAAUACCCGCUGAACUUAAGCAUAUCAAUA